CGAGUAGGAGGAAGAGGAAGAGGCGGGGCGUCGCCAUGGCGGCCAGGGGCCGAUCCGGCCUGCCGCCGGGGCCCGCCGAGACGGCGGCGAUGAGGGUCUGAAAGAGGGGCCCGGAGGGAGGAUGACCUCCCGGUACACGCGGAAGGCCGUGCCCCCGGACGCCCUGGGCCUCCGAGGACUUUCAAAAAAUACCUUAGACUAUCAUCCCCUGCCAGACUCAUUGGAUGACAGUUAUCCCUCCACUGAAAGUCAGGAAGACAAUUCAAGUGAGUCUGAAAGUACAAAAGAUUUAAACUACCAAUCUGUCACUUCAGUGGAUGAUGGGAUCUCGUGGUCACCUAGUCAGAGCUUCACAGGCACCUCUACGGAAGACAGCUCAGUCUUUUCAUGGGGCUAUGAUGAAUUUGAUAAAGCAGCUACACGGCAAGUUCAACAGAUAUUCAGACACAUUGAUGAGCUUUUGUAUGAACAAAAACCAAGCGUGUUUGUUGAAGGUAUAGAGGAAGAGUGCCAACAAUGGAUGUCAAGCUUCCCCCAUCUCAGGAUUGUAGGAAAACAAGCAGUGAUCCCCACAGAUGAAGGCUACGGGUGGUAUUCUAGUUCAACUUGUAGCACCUUAGAGUCAUCAGACAUGAGCCCAAUGCAAGAGAAAGAUUAUAGUGAGUUUAGCGUUCUGGGUAAGAAGGUUCCUCUUUCUGUUACUUCUACUCAUAAAGAAGAAAAUGUUUCACAACCUCCUGAAUUUUGUUUGUUGGAGAACGAGGAAGGAGAAGAUGGAGUGAUUGUCUCUGAGGGCAUAAUGGAGGAAUAUUUAGCAUUUGACUCCAGAGAAGUGGAAGAAGAGUUGCAUGAGUGGAAAAUGUCGCUUUCACCUGACAGACGAAAGUUAGGUUUCCCUCCUAUCUCACCGUCAUACUGCAUGAGGGAUGCGGUUCUUUCCUAUGUGUUUGAUGAUCUGUGGAGUGAAGUACUGGGGUACAUGGAACAGCUAAUUUGUAGACACUGGGAAGGAUCAGUUUCAGAUGAUGAGAAGAAUGUCUUAACUGUAGAAACAAGCCGAACAGAUUCAGGAAGUCCCUUUAUGCAGUUUGAGCCUUUGCCAUUGUUGUUACCUCGAAUGCCACAAACCAAGUUUCCCUCUAUCACGUCAAAUAUGGUGCAUCUUUCUCAAGGAACGAGUGGUGGGCCACAGCGUAAUUUGAAUGGGUUGAUGUUGAUUCAUGGGAUCCCCUUACACCAAAGGAAUUUGCCUGUGAAGGACAAAAUAUUAGACUUGGAUGACAGAUUGCUUAUGAGACCAGGCUCCAGUUCUAUCCUGUCCGCUAGAACUCGGCCAAAUCGCCCUCAUGAACUCAGUACAUCUUCUCUGUCCUAUUCUGCACAGUCUGCUAGAAGGCGUAACCCACCACCACGUACCCUGCAUCCUAUCAACCCCAGCCAUUCUCGCUCAGGGACACCAAGGCCUAUGGAUGACGUCAUCAGGGGAACACGACUCUCCGCUGCAAAUGAGCAAUUGUCGUCACCUUCCCCUAUGCCACUGAGCAGAAAUAAUCUCCUGCCUCCUAUUAGUGCUGUCGAUAUGACAGAACAUAUGGGAUCCCAAAAACAAAUGAAAUCCCGUGGAAAUGCUAGCAGGGCUCGCAGUGCAAUAGCAGAUGAAAUCAACCAUCAGCCUGUUCAUGAAAGACUUUUAUUUCCUGAAAGUUUCUCCAGACCCAACACAUCACAUGCAUUUUGGGUAAGCCAGAUUCACAGUAUCGCCGUUCUUGCACUGUUAUUGAUUAUGCUAAUCAGCCACGAAACAGUAAAGGAUCUGCUGGCACAGAUUCUAUUAACGCAGGAGUAAUGGGAAUCAGUUUAGGGUUAUCCAGCUCUUCUUAUAUUAACUCUUUCCACCACCAGCCUCUUGGUCAUUUUCUUAAUGAGGAUGAGGAGGACAAAGAAGUUCAUCCUCCAUUGGUAGGGCUUCAGUUACAUGGUUCUGUGAGAACUCACGGCCGAGGUGGAUCAAAAAGCAGACAGGGUCUGUAAAGCAUCAAGAGAAGCAGCCAUCCAUUUCCAAGAUGAGGGAGCAUUUACAGAAGCUUUUGAAAUCAGUAUUCAACUGUAGCAAUAUCAAACCUGUUUACAGAAGAACUUCAAACCUUUCUUUACAAGGGUCUUAUUUUUGUUUAAACUAGCUGCCAAAGACUGCAAGGCUGUCUGGGAAUUUUGUUCCUCUAGAUCAGCUACGUCGUUCUGUGGGAUACUGAAAGCUUGCGUUUUAGAAAUCUACUAAACUCAAGAGUCUCAUUGGUUAAUGUUUGACCAGAACAAAUGACUGUCUUAAUAGGAGUCAUGAUAUUGUUAACACACAAAUGAUUUGCCAAUUAAUGGUACUUAAUAGCAAUAUAUUUUGUAAUAUUAGAUUGCUGCUUGGACAAACUUCUGCUAUUACCUCUAAUUAUAUGAAAGUUGUCAGUACCAGUUGAUCCUAUGUUUCAGAAAAGAUUCAGAAACUGAUGUCUAAAAGGGGGCCAAGACUUAAAGCUUACAGCAUACUUAGUUUUUUCGGUUGUUAUUUUAUUUAAAUAUAGAGUUCCCUCUUUCCUCAAUUAGAUCUAUACUCUUCAGCCAUUGACCUAAGACUACAGGGGACUAUUACAGUUAUGUAUGUAAUUUCAGUACUUUUUUGUUUUGUUUUGUUUUAAAUGGAGCAAGAAGUUUGGUAAAAACUUACAGGGAACUGUUUUUGUGCACUUCUCAAUUACAGGGUUCCUUUACUGGGGAGAAAUUUUCUACACUUUGUAGGAGACAUGCCUGGUGAGAGAUGUUAACUUAGAAAUAGUUAAGGAAAAGCAUAGCCUACAAUGAAUAUUUAAUGUCUGAUGUAAUUUUAGUAACUCAGCAGAUUAGCUCUAGGUCUUAACUAGUCAAAAUAAGUGCCAGACUGCAAAUAUUUCAAGCAAUUUAAAAUAAAGAUAGCUUUGCAUUUUAUUCUAGAUACCAUGUGAAAGCUGUAAAUGCCAGAAUAGGGAAAAGAUUUCUUAAAUUGUAAUAUGGAAUAACUUUUGUAUGCAAAUAAAAAUAUUUUCUAA
This is an RNA transcript of Sceloporus undulatus (fence lizard), 3077 nucleotides long. It is a transcript of the gene named family with sequence similarity 149 member B1, with no coding region annotated. The transcript has 15 exons. The record is from RefSeq and is a predicted model, not a curated record. Lineage: Eukaryota; Metazoa; Chordata; Lepidosauria; Squamata; Phrynosomatidae.